This 76-nucleotide transfer RNA is filed under the name Cloacibacillus porcorum. RNAcentral describes it as "tRNA-Thr". It matches the Rfam family "tRNA". From Rfam's summary of the family: Transfer RNA (tRNA) molecules are approximately 80 nucleotides in length. RNAcentral also lists the same sequence under 2 other names. The record is from RNAcentral. Lineage: Bacteria; Thermotogati; Synergistota; Synergistia; Synergistales; Synergistaceae.
GCCGGUGUAGCUCAGUUGGUAGAGCAGCUGACUUGUAAUCAGCAGGUCGGGGGUUCGAAUCCUCUCGCCGGCUCCA